AUAGAAAGUAUAGAGAGGGAGGGGGGUCUGCUGCUGCUUUUCAUAUGAGCGGAAGGCGUCAUAUUCCGUGCAGUUCAAGCGCUGUUGUUGGCCAAGGCUUACACGAGAUGACCGGAGAGGGGCUGUUUCACAGAUAACGGAACAGUGAAAAGAGAGCGGCGACGCAAGGAGGCAGAAGACGACGGCGACGACGACGACAAGCCAUAAAAACGUCAAAAACCGUGUUAUCGGGAAAGACAACAGCGCGUUUCACUCCCCUCCAUCACCUCCGCUCGAGCCAAUCGAGAUGGAUUUAUCUUCUGCACCAUUUAUCAGAUCACUCGCCCAAGCGAACCGUGCUUCGCGCGCAGCAGCAGCAACACCGACCGCGGUCCCUUUCGUUUGCUCUCGUUAGAGAGCGUUUUGUUUUGUUAUUCGAACAGUGUGCGCGCUCUCCUGGACGUCGAGGAAUUGAACCUGCUGCCAUUGAACUGAAAAAACGGAGGAGACUGGCUUGUGGACUCUUGAGCUAUAACUAGCAGGCAACCCCUUUUUGUCGCGCGCCGCCGAGCGAAACCGUAAGAUAUCGUCUAGCCCACUGCUGCCCUGAUGCAAAAACACCGCCGCAGCCUCGAGAAGCUAUGCAUGUGUUUGAUAAGAUAAAUAUGUGACGGGGGAAUAACGGGAGACCCCGGCCCGGUUCUGUCUGAUCUGCACACCCAGGCUGAUAGCGGAGGCUCUGGUGACGAGAUGGAAAUGGCAUAAAUUCAUCUUUUAUACAUCAACAAGGAGACUGAAGGACGGAACGGACACAUCUGACACCACUAUCUGCAUCUAGAGACAUCAAACACAGGCGAUGGAAAAUCAACCAUAUGCCAUGUCUGAAGACUAAGUGCCCUGAAUGUGGAAAUGUCAGAAAUUCCUCAAGAAUAUCAACAGAUGAACGUAAGAACUGACCUUUUAUAAAUUCUGCCGUUACGCUCCUGUUUUUUUUCUAAAGUAGCAUGUGAUUCGGUUGCAAUAAAAAAUAAAAAAAAAUCAUAAAGAUAUCCCG
Long non-coding RNA from Esox lucius (northern pike), 1033 nucleotides. The record is from Ensembl. Lineage: Eukaryota; Metazoa; Chordata; Actinopteri; Esociformes; Esocidae.